AACAACAGGGGGAAGAUGGCUCAGAGUUAGGCUGGAGAGGGGCGGUGUCCCUUCCGCCGCAGCCGCGGGGUUUCUGCUACAUCCCAUUCGCCACCUCCGCCAUCCUUUUUUCUGUGUGAGCAGAAGGGCUUGCAGUUGUUCUCUCCUGCCUAGUGUCUUCCAAGGGAUAGAUGCCAUUUCUUCUGCUGGUCUCUGGGGGUGAGGAGGGGCGCAGGGGAGCUUCUUGGGGGAAUCGCUCCAACUCUGUGGAGCUGGUGGUGCUGCCUGGUGGGGCUCUCUCUGCCCAGGACGUGGAACAACUUUCAGCCGGAGGACUAGAGGAAAUAGUUGUAGGGGAGGAAAAAUUGUUUCCUUCUAGCCUUUUAGGUCAUUUGGCUGGUCUACAAAUUAAAUUGAUGUAAGACAGAGGAACAUGAGAAAAACGAUUUGUCGACCGAAAGGUGAAAUAACAGGUACUAAAACUUAAAGAAAUCAUGGUUAGUUUUAUUACUCGGCCAAGUUUGAGGACUUAAGCCUGGGAACACAGACUCAGUAUAGACCGAGAACGUGUCCCAAAGUAAGUUAGCUGGGAGUAUAACCUGAAGAAGACUGAGUUUUAAUACCCAGAAUAUUUGAGUAUCAAUAUCUAGACUACUGUGUCAUUUUGUCGCCAAAGUAAUUUUUUAUGAAUCCAGUUUUGCACCAAAUACCAAUAUGACUUAAAUGUUGUCUGAUUGUGAGGCCUAAGAUGGUCACAGUCUCAUUUAUCUUUCUUCCUCAACAAAAACAUUUUCCAUAUAUUACAUAUUAUUUUGAAUGGGUAGAGACUAAAGCCACGUUUCUAUAAUUUCAGGAUUUUAAACAUUUUGUAGACGAUAACAUUCGUCUUGAAGCUGUGGACAAUCUAAAACAGAAAUGGAGUUCCAAAUUUUGUUUUUGUAAUAUGGCCCGUCAACUGCACAUGGGAAGAAUUCUGGAAUUUUGCCGCUUCUUGGUUGACAGAAUCCAAGGGUAUAUUGUCACAGAGAAGACUCCAGCCUGAUGUCUAUGGGACCUGAGUCCACACUGUGGAGGGCACAAGCUGUGGGAGGGCCUGGAAGACACGCCUCAGAGAUUCUCCCAGUCCUGCCACCCUGUGGGAGACACUUCAAAGGAAUCGUAAACUCAUGUGACCAGCAGGGAGGACAACGAUGAAGAAACUUUCCUGCCUAAAAUCAGCUGCUGUCCAGAGCUAGCACCUGGAAGGAGACACUCCCUCUCCUGGGGUCACAUCUUCACUGCAAGGCGGGUGGGAGCUCACUGCUGUGACCCACAUAUACUCCUCUCUCGGCGUCUCUAUCCUGCUGCUUUCUCUGACUGCAUCUUCCUCUGUUCCUUGGUCAGUGUUUGAGAAGAGAAUGUUGAACAAGUCACAUCCUUGUCACUCUGAGUCAGAACCCUCAUUUGACUUGGAAGAUUUGUGCUUCCGUUUUUUCUUCUUUUUCUUUUCUUUCUUCCUUUUCUUAUGCUUUUCUUUCUUCUUCUUUUUCUUGUGUUUCUCUUUACCUUCAGAGGAACUGGAGCUGCUCCUAUCUUCAUCUGAGGUAGAAUCCUCCAGUAACUGUUUUAACUGCUGUAUCCUAAACAUUCAAAAUUGAUCAAAGAACAGUGAGUUUUAGCUUUAACUUACAACAGUUGCUUAGAUAAAUAUGUCAUUCAAAAGCAGUAUAGGAUGAUGAAUAACCAUGUCACAAAGACAGUAUUUUUAUUUUUACCUGUUUUCUCAUUCUUCUCCACCUGAAUGCCUACUUUACGUGACUGAAACCAGUGUACAAGCCACUUUGUAUUCUUUUUAUUGUCCUAGACAUUUCUGCAUGUUUCCACAGUCCUUACAAUUGUAAUUUCUAACAGACGCAUACUUUACUAAACCAUUCCCCUACUGCUCAAUUUCUUAAUCUACAUCUUUAACAGUUAUAAUGCCACCAAUUUGAAAAAACAAACCCUCCAAUUUUUUCCACCUCUCUCUAAUCAUGUCUAAUUUUUUUCUUUUUUUUUUAGAGACAGGGUCUUCCUCUGUCACCUAGGCUGGAGUGCAGUGGUGCAAUCAUGGCUUACUGCAGCCUCAACCUACUGGGGUCAAGUAGAUCCUCCCACCUCAUCCUCCCGAGUGGCUGGAACUACAGGUGCGUGCUGCCAUACUUGGCUACUUUUUAUAUUUUUUUGUAAAGAUGGGGUUUUGCUGUAUGGCCCAGGCUGGUCUCAAACGCCUGGACUUCAGCGAUCCGCUGGCCUCGGCCUCCCAAAGUGUUAGGAUUACAGGUGUGAGCCACUGAGCCUGGCCUAAGUAUAAUUUUUAACAAAAGCUCACAUCCCUAAAGACUCUGGAGAAGAUAAACUGAAUCACAUGAAAAUAUCAAUUAUACUGUACAAGUAGACAGCACAACAUGGGUUGCCAACAUCAACUGCAGUGGCCAGAGAGCUGGACCAAGCCCAUGGCUUUAAGUUAACCCAAGGAGGAGGAGGCUGGCCUGCUCAUUCCCCAACACUGGCCUUUUCAGCCAUGACUCCUGCACUCCACAUAUUUUCACAAUUGAAGUACCAUGUUUACUGCACCAUUCCUCUAACACUAGAGUGGUUUUCUCCAACUUUAUAUAAUUUUAAAACUUUAAGGGGAUAUUGUUAUCAUCAGGACGACCUCACCUUACGUCCUUUUCAUGUCGUUUAUUGUCUCGUAUGAUGUCAUACAUGGGAUCUUCAUGUGCCUUAAGGGUCAGAGAAGGUUAAGGUUUGGUUAGGCUUCAUGGAUCACAAGUUAAAUACAAUGAAAUGCCUAUGUUAUGAAAAC
RNAcentral lists this long non-coding RNA (2803 nucleotides) under Homo sapiens (human). RNAcentral's name for it is "HSALNT0340187". The record is from RNAcentral. Lineage: Eukaryota; Metazoa; Chordata; Mammalia; Primates; Hominidae.